This 331-nucleotide ribosomal RNA is filed under the name uncultured bacterium. Its description in RNAcentral is "bacterial SSU rRNA". It matches the Rfam family "Bacterial small subunit ribosomal RNA", at positions 568 to 899 of the family's 1533-position model. The record is from RNAcentral.
UCCGUAGGCGGUGCGGCAAGUCGGAAGUGAAAUCUCAGGGCUUAACCCUGAGGCUGCUUCCGAAACUGCCGUGCUGGAGUGCGAGAGAGGCGAGUGGAAUUGCAGGUGUAGCGGUGAAAUGCGUAGAUAUCUGCAGGAACAUCCGAGGCGAAAGCGGCUCGCUGGAUCGCAACUGACGCUGAGGGACGAAAGCUAGGGGAGCAAACAGGAUUAGAUACCCUGGUAGUCCUAGCCCUAAACGAUCAGGACUGGGCGUGGGCCUCGUACGGGGCUCGUGCCGCAGCUAACGCGUUAAGUCCUGCGCCUGGGGAGUACGGUCGCAAGGCUGAAA